This 599-nucleotide ribosomal RNA is filed under the name bacterium enrichment culture clone F61x_D70_T3_F09. Its description in RNAcentral is "bacterial SSU rRNA". It matches the Rfam family "Bacterial small subunit ribosomal RNA", at positions 13 to 607 of the family's 1533-position model. The record is from RNAcentral.
UUGAUCCUGGCUCAGAUUGAACGCUGGCGGCAUGCCUUACACAUGCAAGUCGAACGGCAGCACGGGGGCAACCCUGGUGGCGAGUGGCGAACGGGUGAGUAACAUAUCGGAACGUGCCCUGGAGUGGGGGAUAACUAGUCGAAAGAUUAGCUAAUACCGCAUACGAUCUACGGAUGAAAGUGGGGGAUCGCAAGACCUCAUGCUCGUGGAGCGGCCGAUAUCUGAUUAGCUAGUUGGUGGGGUAAAGGCCUACCAAGGCAUCGAUCAGUAGCUGGUCUGAGAGGACGACCAGCCACACUGGGACUGAGACACGGCCCAGACUCCUACGGGAGGCAGCAGUGGGGAAUUUUGGACAAUGGGCGCAAGCCUGAUCCAGCAACGCCGCGUGAGUGAAGAAGGCCUUCGGGUUGUAAAGCUCUUUUGUCAGGGAAGAAACGGUGGAGGUUGAUACCUUCUGCUAAUGACGGUACCUGAAGAAUAAGCACCGGCUAACUACGUGCCAGCAGCCGCGGUAAUACGUAGGGUGCAAGCGUUAAUCGGAAUUACUGGGCGUAAAGCGUGCGCAGGCGGUUGUGCAAGACAGAUGUGAAAUCCCCGGG